UCAGACAGUUAUCUGAGAGACCGUGCUGUAUGGAGUGAGUGUACAGAACCGAGGAUGUGGUGGAGUUUAAUGUCACUCUGUUCUCUAUUUUGAUGGCGUGCGGAGCUCUGCAGGUCCUCCUGUGUGCAUUACAGAUCAUCAACAGCCUUUCUCGGUUGCAUCUGCGGCGCUUGUGGAGCCUGUGGUGCUUGCCUUGUCUCUAUGAGUGUACGUUACACCCAAAAAGCCAUGAAUCCAGUGGUGUGAUUGGACUCUGCGUUUCAUCCUGAACAUGAUUAAUGAUCUGAUCUGCCUGGGACAGUAAAAUCUAACAGCUGGACUGAUACAGAUGUUUUCCACUGUUCAUCUGCCCAAUAUCUUUUUUUCCUUUUAUCAUGUUAAACAUGUCAUUAUUAUGAAUAAACCUGAUUAUAUUUGAA
Molecule: long non-coding RNA, 419 nt
Organism: Silurus meridionalis
Lineage: Eukaryota; Metazoa; Chordata; Actinopteri; Siluriformes; Siluridae
Exons: 2
Source: RefSeq, a predicted model, not a curated record